Molecule: ribosomal RNA, 253 nt
Filed under: uncultured bacterium
Lineage: Bacteria
Description: partial 16S ribosomal RNA
Rfam family: Bacterial small subunit ribosomal RNA
Source: RNAcentral
UACGAAGGGGGCUAGCGUUGCUCGGAAUCACUGGGCGUAAAGCGCACGUAGGCGGCUUCUUAAGUCAGGGGUGAAAUCCUGGAGCUCAACUCCAGAACUGCCCUUGAUACUGAGGAGCUUGAGUCCGGGAGAGGUGAGUGGAACUGCGAGUGUAGAGGUGAAAUUCGUAGAUAUUCGUAAGAACACCAGUGGCGAAGGCGGCUCACUGGCCCGGUACUGACGCUGAGGUGCGAAAGCGUGGGGAGCAAACGGG